UACGUAGGGUGCAAGCGUUGUCUGGAAUUACUGGGCGUAAAGAGUUCGUAGGCGGUUUGUCGCGUCGUUUGUGAAAACCAGCAGCUCAACUGCUGGCUUGCAGGCGAUACGGGCAGACUUGAGUACUGCAGGGGAGACUGGAAUUCCUGGUGUAGCGGCGAAAUGCGCAGAUAUCAGGAGGAACACCGGUGGCGAAGGCGGGUCUCUGGGCAGUAACUGACGCUGAGGCGCGAAAGCUGGGGGAGCAAACGGG
This 253-nucleotide ribosomal RNA is filed under the name uncultured bacterium. Its description in RNAcentral is "partial 16S ribosomal RNA". It matches the Rfam family "Bacterial small subunit ribosomal RNA", at positions 524 to 776 of the family's 1533-position model. The record is from RNAcentral.